GAGAGUAUGUGAAAUGGAUGAUUAAUCAAGUUUAUGAAAGCAAGCGGGCGGAAACUUUACGAGAUAAAGUAACAUUAUCUCUAACGUCAUUGUUCGAGCAAUACCGCACCGGUAUAUGCCCCCAAAGCAAUUUGAGGUCAAAGGGUACAAAGACAAUGAACGUGUCAAUGUCUCCUAUGGUUGGUGUGGACAUUAUGACUGCAAUGUAUCUUAGCCAAACGAGACAAGAAUAUUUGGAAGAAUAAUCCGAAUUAGAUAAGUAUUUGGAAGAAAAAUGUGAACGCUAUAGCUCCAACUUUGAUAUCUUAAAUUGGUGGAAAGUCAAUUCUUCGAGAUAUCCUAUCCUCUCUUCCAUUGCUCGAGAUAUUUUGGCCGUGCCCGUCUCAACUGUAGCAUCAGAGGCUGCAUUCAGCAUAGGAGGUCAUGUACUUGACGUGUUUCGUAGCUCCUUGACCCCAAAUAUGGUGGAGGCUCUUAUAUGAGCUCAAGAUUGGCUACGAUCCGCACCACUUUCACUUUCGAUUGAGGAGGACUUAGAAGAACUCGAAAAUUUUGAGUCAGAGUUGUCAACUGUGACCGCGGAACUGAACUCGAUAUUGGUUUCUCUUGAUGAUUGACGAACAAAAGAGAAGUAGUCAUCUCCUUGAUGUGUAAAGAAAGCAAGUGAGUACUGGAAAUUCUAUAUUCUUUUUUGUAGCUAGUCCAUUAUAUGAUUAUUUUUAAAAAGAGGAAGGCUCAAUAGCAUGUCACUAUAUCGACUCGAUUUCAUAUCAUAGCUGUGUGAUUGGCCGUGAACCUUUAAAAAAAAUUAGAAGAGGAAUAAUCCAAGCGAUACCUCAUCAGAUAACACAUGCCAAGAGAUUCUUCAGUGACAUGCAAUUUAUCUUGUGAUUUUAACAGGUGCAACUGUGGAACCAUUUGGAAAGCAAGUGAGCAACUUUUGUUGUUCUGCGCAGUAGUCUAUUUGCUUUAUGUACUAGCAACUGACCCUGUACCUGGAGGACUGAGAGGAGACAUCACAAAGCAGAACCUUUUGGCAGAGUUGGGUCUUAUUAAUUUCUGACAUUAGAAUUAAUGUAAUCAAAUAUAUGAAUUCUUCUUGUAAGAACUUCCUUUUAUCUUGGUUCUAUUACAUUAAAAUGGCACUUCUUGUUUU
Molecule: long non-coding RNA, 1156 nt
Organism: Syzygium oleosum
Lineage: Eukaryota; Viridiplantae; Streptophyta; Magnoliopsida; Myrtales; Myrtaceae
Exons: 2
Source: RefSeq, a predicted model, not a curated record